Molecule: non-coding RNA, 2518 nt
Organism: Paramuricea clavata
Lineage: Eukaryota; Metazoa; Cnidaria; Anthozoa; Malacalcyonacea; Plexauridae
Source: the annotation of a GenBank genome assembly
CCAGAGGAGGAGUGGUCACUAUACCACAAUGCAUCGCUUCUCAUUAAUAUUCGGAAUUAUAUUUUGCGAGUCUUUGAAAGAUGUUUGUCGAAAAAUUGUGGUUGUUUAUCGCGAUUUUUUACGCUGAAAAUUUUGAUUUUUGGAAGGUACGUUUUCAUAAUUGUUUUAUUUGUGACCUUAAUUGUACGAUUUUUGUUUUAUGUGGUUGUCGUAUCAUGUUUCAGUUAUGUUAAUCACGCAUUGAAUUACCCUUGGUUUCGGGUCAGUGCACAUGUCACAAAAGUGGCUUUGAUAUUCGCCGGGGAUUAAAUGCUUUUUAAAUCAGGAAAUUCAACAACAUUUACAGCAUCGAAUGCAGGAAGGGUUAUUCUUUCUAUUGAUACUUCAAAACACAAAAAAUCCCCUCGAACUGACGAGUUAUCGCGGUUUGAAAAUGGGGUAUAUUUCGGUGCUAUAAAAGAAAUGGCAUUGAUAUACGCCAGGGGUUAAAUAGUUUAUAAAUCGGGAAAUUCAGCAAAAUUCACAUCAUUGAAUUCGGAAAGGUCAAGGUUUUAGCUGAUACUUUAAAACAUUAACAAUCUCCUCCAACCGACGAGUUAUCGCGGUUUGAAAAUGGGGUAUAUUUCGGGUAUAGUGCACACGACACGAAAACGGCUUUGAUAUAUUCAGGGGGCUAAAUGGUUUAUAAAUCAGUAAAUUCAAUAAAAUUCACAUCAUUGUAUUCAGUAAGGAUUACUCUUUCUCUUGGUACUUUAAAACAUAAAAAGGCCCCUGAAACCGACGAGUAAUCGUUGUUUGAAAAUGGGGUAUUUUGCUUUUGUUGUCGCCAAUCGCGGGAAAAGAGGACUCUACAGGAAAUAUGGCGCGAGCGCGACGUAAACAAGCCAGCUUUUCUAACAUAUUGUUCCUGAUUGUAUCAUUUUUUUAUAGAAUUCGAGUUUAUUAAUUGGAGCAAAAAAUGGAAUCUAUUAAUGAUGGCGAUGUUGUCAUUGUUGAUCAUGAUUUAGAAAAUGAGGAAACUCAAAUUACUGAUACGCCAGAAAAACCAACAAGAAAAAGCCAUGUGGUUUCUAGUAGGCUCCUAGCCCAUUUCUUAUAUAUAUCUAUUCCUUGUAAAUGUAAUAUUUUGGGCGAAAAAUAUUAAAAAAAAACAAAAAAACCCAAAAAACCCUGAAGACUAUAUCUCGUGUGGAAAGUUCAUUCAGUCCAGCUUUGGUUCAUAUAAUGGGCCAUUCCAUUUAAUAUAGGCACCCCCCCCCCCUGUUGAGGGGUCCCUUCAACCUAUUGAGGGGUCCCUUUAUAGAACCCCCUUGGAUGUGAUUUUUGGAAGUUACCCCAUGGAUAUCUUCAUAUACCCCCUUUAGGAUAUCGUUUUUGGGUAUCACUAAAACACCUAAUUUUUGCUAUUUUUUUGAAAAUUUCUUAACCCUCUAGGAAAAUUUAAGGUAAAAACCCCCUCCCCCCCCAUAGGAUAUCCAGACCCCUCAACAGGGAGGGGGAGGCAGCUUAUAUUAAAUUGAAUGGCCCAUUCAAAGUCCUGGCACAUCAGCGAAGGUAUAAUAAAAACAAUUAUGGUAGACGAAAUUGUACUUAAAACUUUGUUAUUCUUUGUAUUCUAUUCUUUAAAAUAUUGUCUUUGUAUACAGGGAUGGAUCCAGCAUGAUCUGGUAGGAGGGGGGGGGGGUGCUCUGGUGCCGACUACCAAGUUGUGUUGGUCAUGUGUGCCGCCCGCCCAUGAACUACUGUAUUUGAAUUGUAAUUGUUGUUCACAGUUCACUAGGGCUAGGGGGGGGGGGCACCCCCCAGUAAAUCCAUCCCUGUUUGUAUAUUCAGUGUAACACCUCUGUGUAACAUUAUUCUGCAGUGUAUAAACAUUAUUCAUGUAUGAUUAUUCAUAUGUCAUCUGUGACUCAAUUUCCAUUUUAGUAAAUGACAUACUUUUUUGUAGUUUCCUAGCAGAAAGAUAAGGCUGACUCCUUCACAGAAGUCACCAGUGAAAAAACAUAACUGGACCUUUGAGGAAAAUAAAGCUUUGAUCUAGUUAUGGAAAAAUUUUGUCCAUAAUAAAAUAUAAUAACAACAAUUUACAAUAUCCUAGUAAUCUAUGUCACUGUUAUAAUCGUAGGGAUCCAUAAUAAAAUAUGUAGGGAUCCAUAAUAAAAUAAAAUCAAAUCAAUUUACAAUAUACUUCUUGUGUGUGUUGGUGUUAUGUACUCAGGUGAAUAUGAUGUUUGUGAUGUUUCUUGGGUCAUCUCUGUCCCAUGGUCCACUUUUCACAAUCAACAAUGCUGUACUGUGGAGUAAUAUCCACCAAGCACACAGAAUUUAUUGGUUGUAGAUCACAGUUACAUCCAGUUUGCCCUUGUAAAUUUAUUGGUUGUAGAUCACAGUUACAUCCAGUUUGCCCUUGUAAAUUUAUUGGUUGUAGAUCACAGUUACAUCCAGUAUGCCCUUGUAAAUUUAUUGGUUGUAGAUCACAGUUACAUCCAGUUUGCCCUUGUAAAUUUAUUGGUUGUAG